UCUAAUACCGGAUACGACUGCGGAAGGCAUCUUCCGUGGUGGAAAGCUCCGGCGGUGAAGGAUGAGCCCGCGGCCUAUCAGCUUGUUGGUGGGGUAAUGGCCUACCAAGGCGACGACGGG
Molecule: ribosomal RNA, 120 nt
Filed under: Streptomyces flavotricini
Lineage: Bacteria; Bacillati; Actinomycetota; Actinomycetes; Kitasatosporales; Streptomycetaceae
Description: partial 16S rRNA
Rfam family: Bacterial small subunit ribosomal RNA
Source: RNAcentral